AGCUCGGUACUUUAAGUAAAAAGGCGAGAUUUGCAUUUUCGUAAUGAGUAAUACUCUCGAGCU
RNAcentral lists this transfer RNA (63 nucleotides) under Ostrea lurida. Its description in RNAcentral is "tRNA-Ala". Lineage: Eukaryota; Metazoa; Mollusca; Bivalvia; Ostreida; Ostreidae. The record is from RNAcentral.